RNAcentral lists this ribosomal RNA (460 nucleotides) under uncultured bacterium. Its description in RNAcentral is "partial 16S ribosomal RNA". It matches the Rfam family "Bacterial small subunit ribosomal RNA", at positions 338 to 795 of the family's 1533-position model. The record is from RNAcentral.
CCUACGGGGGGCAGCAGUGAGGAAUAUUGGUCAAUGGACGAGAGUCUGAACCAGCCAAGUAGCGUGAAGGAUGACUGCCCUAUGGGUUGUAAACUUCUUUUAUAUGGGAAUAAAAUGUUCCACGUGUGGGAUUUUGUAUGUACCAUAUGAAUAAGGAUCGGCUAACUCCGUGCCAGCAGCCGCGGUAAUACGGAGGAUCCGAGCGUUAUCCGGAUUUAUUGGGUUUAAAGGGAGCGUAGGUGGAUUGUUAAGUCAGUUGUGAAAGUUUGCGGCUCAACCGUAAAAUUGCAGUUGAAACUGGCAGUCUUGAGUGCAGUAGAGGUGGGCGGAAUUCGUGGUGUAGCGGUGAAAUGCUUAGAUAUCACGAAGAACUCCGAUUGCGAAGGCAGUUCACUGGACUGCAACUGACACUGAGGCUCGAAAGUGUGGGUAUCAAACAGGAUUAGAUACCCGUGUAGUC